This 2452-nucleotide long non-coding RNA is filed under the name Sorghum bicolor (sorghum). Its description in RNAcentral is "long non-coding RNA (SBIC_LNC011087)". Lineage: Eukaryota; Viridiplantae; Streptophyta; Magnoliopsida; Poales; Poaceae. The record is from RNAcentral.
GAACAAAAAGGAAAAAGAAAAAGAAAACAGCGCAGUGGGCUGCUUGGAAACUGGGCCGCAGACCGGCCCACUGCUUCCGGCCCGCGUCCGCGCCGCGCACGCCCGCGCGCUUUCUCUCUCUCUCAGCCACUGACAGGGUAGCCCCACCCGUCAGAUCUCUCUCUCUCACGCACGGCGGCUCGGCCGCAACUCCGGCGACCGAUAGUGAGGCCCUCGGCCUCCGCGCGCGCGCGCAUCGGCUCCGCCUCAACUCCGCGACUCCAUUGGUACCACUCGCGGACGCUCUACCUCACUGCUACCACCUCGGCCACGAUAGGAGCGGGCGGUCGCCAUGGCCGACUGUCGGCCGGCCACUAGGACCCGGUAGAGAGCAAACGAAUGGCGUAGAGAGGUUCAAGGUGGUGUAGGGAACACGAUGCUCACGUCACCACGGUGGGAGAAGUAGCUGAAGUUGUUGGCGACGGAGACAGUGCGAUCGGGCGGGCGCUCCGGCUCCGGCGAGCUCGUUUCGGCGAUUCUGUUCGCGCCCAAAGGAAAAGAGAGAGAGCAUGAGCUACUAGAACACAAGAGAAACUCGAAACAGCUGCCAUGGAAACGUGAUACCGACUAGAACACCGUGGCCACGGUAAGAGCCCCACGGCGGCAGUUCUGGCCGGAGAUGGAGAAGAUGGAGGUGUCUCGGCGAUUGAGAGGGUUAUGGGGCGAGCUUGGUGGUGUUCUGGAUUCGCAAGGAGGUGGCGAACAUCAUGGACAGCUCAAUUUGAUGCGAGGAGAAUCGAGCACGGCCAAUUUGGAUGGAGACGAGAUGCUGCUCCUCGGUGCUCCGGUGGCGGAAAUGGAGUCGACGAGCGCAGCAGAGAAGGGCACGUCGCGCCUCUGGUUGCCAGCAGCUGCUCCACAUCGUCACGGACGUGAACACGCGCGUGGACGAGGUAAAACGGUGACCAUGCGCUGGCAUUCACCGAUCCAGACUCGGGUGUCCACCGCCAUGAACAGGAGCCAAAGCUUAUCCCCCCCUUUUUGUCUGGUUUUGCAAAAAUCGACCAAAAGAUGAACUGAAGCCAAAUUUUCACCAAAAAUAAACUUGUGCAAAAUUUUGUGAGCUACAAAACAUAUUUAGGUGUCCCAAGCUGAUUCUGAGUGGAAACUAGUGAUUUUGCCAAAACAGUUUUGAAAUUCAAAUCCCAAAUUGGGGAAAUUCCAAAUUUUGAAUUGGAGCAGAUUAGAAUUUCCAAAAUUACUUUUGAUUUUCCAAAACAACUUGAAAAACUAUCAACAUGAAAGUUGUUCAAAUUUUCAAGCCCUACAACUCUCAUGUUGACCAUUUUUCAAAAUUCCAAACAGAUUUUGAAUUGGAGAUUUAAGUUUGAAAAGAGGACACUUUCCGGAAAUCUGUAUUUUCAAAAUUACUUUGAAUUUUGUACUGAAACUUCAAAAACUCAAAACACCAAAGUUGUACAUCUUGACAAGAUCUACAACUUUGCUUUUGAACUCAACUUCAAACUUUGCUUUGUUUUUGAAUUGCACAAAAGGGGCAAAUCUAGGUUUUUGAAAUUAGGGUUUCCCCCUUAAGUCUUUCGGAAAAACUUUCACCCAGGGUUUUAAUCACCAACACAAACAUCCAUACACAAUAUAAGCACACUUUAAUUUCCUAAGCACAAUCAACCAAAAUAACCUUAUUUUAAGUUGAUGCAUAAUAAUGUGCUUAACAAAUAUGCUUUGCAAUGCUUAUGAUGACAUGAUCCAGUUUUAGUGUUCGUAACAUCAGGGAUGUUACAGCCUUAAAUUUCAUGAUUUUUGGAUAUACCUAUGAACUAUUAAAAAUCAUGGAAGGUUUAUUCAUUAAUAAACAAAGGCAAUUUAUAUAUAUAUGAAAAUUACCAGAAAACAGAACCUAACAUUUUUCUUAUGCUCUAUCCAUUUUAUGUAAGCUAUACAAAAAUUUUCACAAUUUUUGGAUUAGCACAACAUUUACUACACAAAAUCAAACAUCAAUCACUUUUGAACAAAAAGGAAAAAGAAAAAGAAAACAGCGCAGUGGGCUGCUUGGAAACUGGGCCGCAGACCGGCCCACUGCUUCCGGCCCGCGUCCGCGCCGCGCACGCCCGCGCGCUUUCUCUCUCUCUCAGCCACUGACAGGGUAGCCCCACCCGUCAGAUCUCUCUCUCUCACGCACGGCGGCUCGGCCGCAACUCCGGCGACCGAUAGUGAGGCCCUCGGCCUCCGCGCGCGCGCGCAUCGGCUCCGCCUCAACUCCGCGACUCCAUUGGUACCACUCGCGGACGCUCUACCUCACUGCUACCACCUCGGCCACGAUAGGAGCGGGCGGUCGCCAUGGCCGACUGUCGGCCGGCCACUAGGACCCGGUAGAGAGCAAACGAAUGGCGUAGAGAGGUUCAAGGUGGUGUAGGGAACACGAUGCUCACGUCACCACGGUGGGAGAAGUAGCUGA